RNAcentral lists this ribosomal RNA (765 nucleotides) under uncultured Streptococcus sp. RNAcentral's name for it is "bacterial SSU rRNA". It matches the Rfam family "Bacterial small subunit ribosomal RNA", at positions 28 to 776 of the family's 1533-position model. Lineage: Bacteria; Bacillati; Bacillota; Bacilli; Lactobacillales; Streptococcaceae. The record is from RNAcentral.
GACGAACGCUGGCGGCGUGCCUAAUACAUGCAAGUAGAACGCUGAGGACUGGUGCUUGCACCGGUCCAAGGAGUUGCGAACGGGUGAGUAACGCGUAGGUAACCUACCUCAUAGCGGGGGAUAACUAUUGGAAACGAUAGCUAAUACCGCAUAAAAGUGUUUAACCCAUGUUAAACAUUUAAAAGGUGCAAUUGCAUCACUAUGAGAUGGACCUGCGUUGUAUUAGCUAGUUGGUGAGGUAACGGCUCACCAAGGCGACGAUACAUAGCCGACCUGAGAGGGUGAUCGGCCACACUGGGACUGAGACACGGCCCAGACUCCUACGGGAGGCAGCAGUAGGGAAUCUUCGGCAAUGGACGGAAGUCUGACCGAGCAACGCCGCGUGAGUGAAGAAGGUUUUCGGAUCGUAAAACUCUGUUGUUAGAGAAGAAUGAUGGUGGGAGUGGAAAAUCCACCAUGUGACGGUAACUAACCAGAAAGGGACGGCUAACUACGUGCCAGCAGCCGCGGUAAUACGUAGGUCCCGAGCGUUGUCCGGAUUUAUUGGGCGUAAAGCGAGCGCAGGCGGUUCUUUAAGUCUGAAGUUAAAGGCAGUGGCUCAACCAUUGUACGCUUUGGAAACUGGAGAACUUGAGUGCAGAAGGGGAGAGUGGAAUUCCAUGUGUAGCGGUGAAAUGCGUAGAUAUAUGGAGGAACACCGGUGGCGAAAGCGGCUCUCUGGUCUGUAACUGACGCUGAGGCUCGAAAGCGUGGGGAGCAAACAGG